This 658-nucleotide long non-coding RNA is filed under the name Marmota monax (woodchuck). Lineage: Eukaryota; Metazoa; Chordata; Mammalia; Rodentia; Sciuridae. The record is from RNAcentral.
CAUUUUAUUUCCCUCACUUCCUGCCUCCACCUGGUCCACUUGCUCAACUUUACUGAUCUCCCUUCUAUUAUUAUUAUUAUUGUUUUAAAUUUGCAUGUUAUAAUUAUAUACAUAGUAUGAUUAGCUGUGCUAUAUUUAUACAUGGACAUAGAUAAUUUGGUAGAUUUAAUUCCUUGGUACUUUCCUCUCUCCUCCUGAAGGAUAAAUAUUUCUGGAAUGGUAGGGAAAUCCUCUUGUAAAAUCUGCUCCUCAAUAAAAUUGAUGAGAAGAGAGGCAAAAAAAUAAUUGGUAAAAAUUGGCUUCAAAACUUGGAAUUAAAUAAAAUUUCCAGUAGCCCAAAGUGAAGGUAUUCAAGAAAAUUGGCUAAAUCCUGGUAAGAACAGUAAUCAUUGUGGUGUUUUAAUUCACCUUAUUCCCUAGUCUCUAAUUCUAGAGUAUCCCUAAAAAUGAACAGUGGUAGUUGUGAAAAACAGUAGUCUACUAGCCACUGGAGGAGCAGAAUAUGUAUAGAAUUCCAUAAAAAGAACCAUCUCCACAUAACUGUCAGUAUUUGAUCUAUGGGCAGCUCUCUGGAAAUGCUCAUUCCCAGGAAAUGUCUUUAUUUGACCCGAUUUAAAAAUGUGCUCUUGCAAGCAAUGCUAUCUUUGAAAUAAUUUUC